RNAcentral lists this long non-coding RNA (3589 nucleotides) under Gossypium barbadense (sea-island cotton). RNAcentral's name for it is "long non-coding RNA (GBAR_LNC018862)". Lineage: Eukaryota; Viridiplantae; Streptophyta; Magnoliopsida; Malvales; Malvaceae. The record is from RNAcentral.
CACAAGGCAGUGGAUUCAUUUUCACACCAGACUAUGAAACAUCAUCUAUAAGCUUCUUGUCUUCUUUCCCGAGCUUCAAUGUAAAUGACCGAAGCAUCGGAGAGACAAGAGAAGUGUGUCCCAAAAACAGGUGGUUGAAGGUACGAGCUGUUAUCCAAUGGAAAUCAAUCAGCCGCGGCGCUGCAAAAAGGCGGCGGCAGCACUGGCUGCAACACGGUAUAUGUACAUGAAUAAUAUAUAAGAUCAAUUGCACAGCAAUUAAGCAUCUCCUACAUGUUUAAUGCAAUCAGGAGAUAAUAAUCAGUCUCCUAGAUGUUUCAGCAUAGGUUUCUCAAUCUUAUGUAGCGUUUUUUCUUCCUAUGGAAAUGUAAUGUAAUGUAUUGUAGGAGAGGGCAAGUAGUAGUAUUUUCUCUUAGGUUCAUUUAUGUGGUUGUAGAUUUCACCUUUGUAACUUAUAAUUAACAAUUGCAAUCAAAACAAGGCUGCUUGAAAGUUAAAAAAAUAAUAAAUUCUAAUGUUGAUCUGUUGAUUAGUAAUUUCAUUUUAAAUUUUAGGAUUUUCAUUUAGAUUUUAUUUUUUUAGAACGAAAAUACUAAUGUGACAUUAAACUAUUAAAAAGAGAUAUAAAUGACGGGAUGUCCCUAUACACUCCUUUCCUGGGUUAAAAAGCCAAAAUAAAGUAUUUUAGUCAGUUGACACCAUUUUUUGAUAAAACGGGAUCGACUUGGAUUUUAAAAGCAAAAACAAAAACGGGAGUCGCCACCAAUCCUUUUUUUAAUAAGGUAUGAUCGGGCCACCUCGUAAAAUAGUUGUUUUUAAUAAACGAUUUAGAUUUUAUUAAAACAACGAUUUUGGUUCACGAAAUUCAAAAAAACAAGUUCGGGAGUCGAUUACGCACGAGGAAGGGUUAGCAUCCUCGAUACGCCCAAAAUUGGUACUUAGUCGAUUACUUAAUAUAUUGGUGUCGAAAAUUCAAAAACUUGAAAAGAAUUUAAAAAUACGAUCCCUCUUUAUAAUGUUGAUUAAAAAAUGCUUUAAUUAAAUCAAAAAAUAGAAAAUGCCUCCUUAUCUCGAAGUGACAAGAGGCCACGCCCAGAAAGUUAGGGCCCGACAUCUCAUACUUUGAGAGUAAAUUUGCAUUUCACUUUUUAUUUAAACCUCAUUUAUUUCAAUUUUAAAAGGAUAUUCGGUUACUUAGAAUCAACGAGAAAAAAUCAAAACCCAAUAAGUUAGGACACAAUUUUCUCAAAUUUUCUAAAUGUAGAAUAUUGCCUUUAUUUUGGAAAUUUUAUGUGUUUGAAAUUCAAAAGGAUAUUUUGCUAUCUGGGUUUUACGAGAAAAUCGAGACCCAAUAAGUUCGGAUACAAUUUCCCGAAUUUCCAAAAUGCAAAAUAUUGUCUUAUUUAACAAGAUUCCAUUUCGAAUGAUAGCGGGUAAUCCAUUUGAAGGUAAGUAUUUAUCUUACUUAGAAUAAAAUAAAACAAUCCACAUUGGACUACUAUAUUGGGGUUUAAUUUACAAAAUGAUGACAUGAAAUAACAAUAUAAUAAUAAACAUGGAAUAAUGGUGCAUGGAUAAUUACACAAAUGUAUGGCAAUAAUAUGAAAAUACGAGUAAACUAAUUAUAGUACACACGAUAGCAAAAAUCACACCAUAUUCAUCAUUCAAAUACAAACAUUAAUAAAUAAAGACCCAUUAAUUAGACAAACAAUUAAGAAAUGUAAAAGUAAAGUAAAAUCAAAUAAGAUGUAAAAAAACGAUGUUAAAACGAUAGUGAUGAGUUUAAAAUAAGUAAUGCCAAACAAGAAAUUUAGGGUUAAUAAUAUGUAAGUCAAUCUUUUAAAAAUGUAUAUAAGUAUAAGAUAUGUAAGGUAAGAAAAGAAAAAACAAAUGAAGCAUUUUAAAAAAAUAAGUUGAGUUUAAAAAUCUUUUAAAAAUGUUUAAUAUAAAUAAAACGUAAAAGUGAAAUGAAAUAAAAUUAUUUAAAUGUAAUAAUAUAUAAAAAAAUUUACACAGUUAAAAAGAAAAUAAAAAUGAAAUCAAAACAAACAAAACUAAUAAUAAUAAACAAGAGCAAUUUAAAAGAAAAAUAAAAAUUUAAAGAAAUUAAAGAACUAAGGACGAAACUGGAAAUGGACAAAAAUAUGGGGGUCAAAACUGUAAAUAAAUGAAACAGUUAGCUAGGGGGCUAAAAAAAAGGCGCCGAGGACCCGAUUGGAGCAGGUGCAAAAUUAUAUGGCCGAAAUUAAAUAAAACAAAAGGCUGCAUUGAAUAUGCCGCGGAAUCGGAGGGACCAAAGGCGAAAUUACCCAUUAGGGCAAUAAUGUGCAGAUCUUCCUCCCUUAAACGGCGCAGUUUAGUUUAUGUUAUUUAAACUACAUUUUUUUGAAAUUUCAUUCUUCCUUCUUCAGAGGAGAAAAAAAAUGGGAGGCUCUUUGAAACCCCCCCCAAUGCCUACCGACGGUUGGGUUUCUCACCGCCGUUCACCUGUCCGCCGCACCGCCACUAAAUCCGACGGCCGACGAAGCGCAAUAGCAGGCUUUUAAAGCCCGUUUCCGGUUUAGUCAGAAAGUUAAGUCUUUGAGCCCCGUAAGCAACGAAAUAGAGGCUCUCGACCCUCCCUCUCCGAAUCCAGAUCCGAUGCCGACGAGAGGCCACCGACGGCACAAACCGAUUCAGGUAACCCUCUCUUAUACCUUUUUAUUUAUUAAUAGUUUUCUUUAAAACGAUUUCGAAAGAAAUAAACAAAUAAAUAAACCAGUAAAUAAAUCGACAAAGAAAAAAAAACUAAGGAUAGGAACAACAACCCUUUUUUAUUGAUUUCUGAUUUUUUUUUUGUCUAAAAAGUCCCCGAAGUAGCAUACAAAGAAAUCGGAGUGGCUUUUUAUAGCCGAGAUUACAACUGUUUGCUUCUAUUCUUUUGUUUUUUUGCGAUUCGUUUUCUUCUCUCUGCUGCGUGUUUAUUGCUUUUUGCAGGUGGUGUCAGACGCGUUGGGUGGCGGCUGGUCAGAGGCGUGCAUGCGCGAGGGGAGGCAGACGAAGAGGCCACGCAAAGCAGGCGGCUAGCUAGGGUUUAUUUUGCUGAAAAGUUUUGUUCUUUGUGGGCUAGGGUUGGUUGGGGUAUUGGGCUAAAAAAACUGGGUUUGGGCUGAAAUUUGGGCUGGUUCGUUUGGGUUAAUUGUAAAUGGAUUUUUUUAAUUCUGGAUUUUGGGUUUCUAUUUUGGGCCCGGGUAAAAAUGGGCUCUUACAUAGUCAUUAUAAAAAGAAAAUGAAUUCUUGAACCCUUUUAUGCUCAUGUCACGUCGAGGUACUGCAGAAGAAAAAAUUGUAAAAUCCGAUCCAAUUUAUCGUAAUCGAUUAGUUAACAUGUUGGUUAAUCGUAUUCUAAAACACAGAGAAAAAAAUCAUUAGCUUAUUAAAUUAUCUAUCAAGCCUUGAAAAAGAUUCAACAAAAAAUAGAAACAAAUUCACUAUCUGUUUUAUGUCAAGUAAUACGUGGAGUAACUCCCGUUAUAGCAGUAAAAGCAAGACAUGUAGCUAAAUCGACUCAUCAAGUUCCCAUUGAAAUAGGAUUCACACAAGAAAAAAC